This 69-nucleotide transfer RNA is filed under the name uncultured Nocardiopsis sp. It matches the Rfam family "tRNA". Rfam says of the family: Transfer RNA (tRNA) molecules are approximately 80 nucleotides in length. Their secondary structure includes four short double-helical elements and three loops (D, anti-codon, and T loops). The record is from RNAcentral. Lineage: Bacteria; Bacillati; Actinomycetota; Actinomycetes; Streptosporangiales; Nocardiopsidaceae.
GGACGUAGCUCAGCUGGUAGAGCAUCACCUUGCCAAGGUGAGGGUCGCGGGUUCGAAUCCCGUCGUCCG